UUUCGCAUACCAUUCACACCCAGUUUUAACCGGUCACUAGCAUAACAAGUCACAAAAGGACUUAGACAACUUAAAUCGCCCACAAUCUCUAAAGCUACAACUAAAACAGCACUUAAUCCAUCAAGCAGCAGCACCAUCAUUCAGGAGCAUCUGAUCAAAAUGCCAAACACCUGAAAUUGGAAUACGGUUACUAUUUUUGAAGACUAUGAACAACGCUUCAGCCGCAUCAGCAUAUUUCUGGCGAGCAAUAGACUGUUGAGGAACCGAAGGUACAAGAUUAAGUUCUUUCUUCACCUCCUCAAACGGCUCAAAGACAACCCCAGCAAGUGGGGCAUGGUUUGAAGACCCACCCUUCGUCGCCGCACAGACGACGGUGGACGGCGGCAGAGACCGGUACUGGGUUUCAUUGGAGGUGGGUCGGGUCAAGAAAGAGAGAGUGGGUGGGGCUCUGAGGAGCAUUGUAGUUAGAGGAAUUGUGAGGUUAUGGAACAGGGGAAAUGAAGGGUUUUGAGUGAGUGAUGAAGAAGAUGAUGAUUGGGUGGGUAUAUAGGGAUUUAGUGAGGGAUUGGAGCCGUUGGAUGAGGGACACGUGGAGGGGUGAGAUUGAGGAGGAGGAGUGGCGUGUGGUUGGCUUGUGGUGUAUCUGGAUAUUUUGUUUUUUGGGGUUUUGUGGUGCGGAAUCCGAUAUUGCCUUGAUUGAGACUAGGAAUGGCAAGCUUGGGCCGGGUAUUGAUAAUCUUACGCCCGUAUCCGGUUAUAAUUCUUUGUGCUAUACUUGGCCCGUUAUUUGUUGGAUAUUUUUUGGGUAAUUAUCCGUCAGGUAUCGGGCAUAUCCACAGGUAUCAGGUAUACCUAUUAAUUUCUUAAAAAUACCCGUUGGGACAAAUGUGCAAUUUUUACUUUGUUGUUUAUAUAAUUUACUAUUUUAAAGAGUAUAACAAAUGAAAAUAUGGUUAAUAACUUACAUAUCACAUUCAAACCACAUAUACUAAACUAAAUUAAAACGAUUACUUAAUUAAGUAAUUGUAUUAGGACCAUCUAAUUGCAUAAAACAUCCACAUAAUAAAGGGUGAUAGAUUCCAUAUUCAAUAUAUAUGCUUAAAAAUAAGUUAUAUGUUCACUAAACACUUGCCAAAUACAUAUCCACAUAUGACUAUAGAGAAGGUAAUAAGUACAUGUAUUAAGUUUAUAUAUAUGGAAAUCUAUAAUAUGAUACUUUCGGGUAUUAUUCGGCCCAUACCAUUGGGCUUCGGGUAUACAUGGCCCGUAUGUUUCGGGUUUUGGGUAUACCCGUCGGGCUUGGGUUUUUUUGCCAUCCCUAAUUGAGACUCAUGAUCAAACGAGAGGAGGGUUUUUUCCCCAAAUAAUAAAAUCGCACUUUAAUAAAUAACUAGGAUUUUUUAACGGUAAAUUUAGAUUAUGACGAACCACUAGAGUAUUAUCAUGGCAUGAGUGAAACCACCCGAUAUAUAUACACCAAUUCAGGAGAAAACCCAAUAAAUAUGGGAAAGCCCUCUUUGUGGGAAUCAAACCCAGACCUAUUGGUUCCAGAGUUUUAUCCUACCUCCAAGAUGCCAUUAGGCUAUAAAGUCAUGGGCAAUAAAUUACUAGUACUUUCAAUUUUCUACCUAAUUUGGUUUUAUUUAUUUUUUCACUAAAAAUUUUCAUAAAAAUUUAAUAUGGCGGUUUGUUUAGUUUAGACAACAUGGCGUGGGCGUCGUUUAGUGGCGUUUAUGCCUUUCUACGCCGCACACACCAACCUGGGAACGGUGUUGUAAGUGGCGUUGUGUGUGGGGCGGACCAUUUUCCACCAGCGUUGAGGCAAUGGUUGGGUCGACGUAACGUGCGUCUAUUGGCGCAGCUAAUACCCGUUGGACCCCAAAGUCA
RNAcentral lists this long non-coding RNA (1887 nucleotides) under Helianthus annuus (common sunflower). RNAcentral describes it as "hypothetical non coding rna". The record is from RNAcentral. Lineage: Eukaryota; Viridiplantae; Streptophyta; Magnoliopsida; Asterales; Asteraceae.